RNAcentral lists this ribosomal RNA (900 nucleotides) under uncultured bacterium. RNAcentral's name for it is "bacterial SSU rRNA". It matches the Rfam family "Bacterial small subunit ribosomal RNA", at positions 56 to 833 of the family's 1533-position model. The record is from RNAcentral.
UGCAGUCGAACGGUCUAAUGCUUAACACUGAGUAUUCAGUAAAGUUGGAACAGCGAGAGCGCGAAGUAUGAGCGCUCCACGCAUUAAAUAAGUGCCAACACAAUUAGGAGACUGAAUGUUGAGUGUUAAGUAUUAGAUAGUGGCGGACGGGUGAGCAACGCGUGGGUAACCUACCCAUAAACCCGGGACAACCCUUGGAAACGAGGGCUAAUACCGAAUAAUCUUUGAGAGUGGCAUCACUCUUUAAGGAAAGGUGGCCUCUGAAAAUGCUACCGAUUAUGGAUGGACCCGCGUCUGAUUAGCUAGUUGGUGGGGUAAAGGCCUACCAAGGCGACGAUCAGUAGCCGGCCUGAGAGGGUGAACGGCCACACUGGGACUGAGACACGGCCCAGACUCCUACGGGAGGCAGCAGUGGGGAAUCUUCCGCAAUGGACGAAAGUCUGACGGAGCAACGCCGCGUGUAUGAUGAAGGUCUUCGGAUUGUAAAGUACUGUCUUUGGGGAAGAAUGACUGAUUUGAAAAUAUUGAGUCAGUAUGACGGUACCUAAGGAGGAAGCCCCGGCUAACUACGUGCCAGCAGCCGCGGUAAUACGUAGGGGGCAAGCGUUGUCCGGAAUUAUUGGGCGUAAAGGGCGCGUAGGCGGAUAGUUAAGUCCGGUGUGAAAGAUCAGGGCUCAACCCUGAGAGUGCAUCGGAAACUGGUUAUCUUGAGGACAGGAGAGGAGAGUGGAAUUCCUAGUGUAGCGGUGAAAUGCGUAGAUAUUAGGAGGAACACCAGUGGCGAAGGCGACUUUCUGGACUGUAACUGACGCUGAGGCGCGAAAGCGUGGGGAGCAAACAGGAUUAGAUACCCUGGGUAGUCCACGCUGUAAACGGUGAGUGCUAGGUGUAGAGGGUAUC